Pistacia vera is the source of this 401-nucleotide long non-coding RNA. RefSeq lists it as uncharacterized. Lineage: Eukaryota; Viridiplantae; Streptophyta; Magnoliopsida; Sapindales; Anacardiaceae. The transcript has 3 exons. The record is from RefSeq and is a predicted model, not a curated record.
CUCACAAAAUCCCCCAUUAGCCUAAAUAAUUGCCCAAGAACAUCGUUAUAUACAAUCUCACCCUUUUCUUUCAUUCAAUUGUUGGUCCAUUUUUUGGCCUCAACAGUUUUCCAUCAGUAUUGAGGAAUGGUUUGUCGAAAUUGGGUGUUCCUCGUGAGGUUUUUGGAGUUCUAUUUAAUUGGAUUGAUGCUAAUGAAGACUAUCUAAAGAUCCCGGAAGCAAAAGGGCAGAUUAGUGCUAUUCGAAGUGAGGCAUUCUUCAUUCCCUUGUAUGAGCUUUACCUCACAUAUGUGGAAUUUUCAGGUUAACAUUUGGACCAAAGGAGUCCAUCAAGAAUAUCUCAAGAAGCUGCCAACUCUUAUGUUUUUCCAUGAAUCUGUCAUAUUUUUGCUGCAGCAGGU